UUAGGUCGGGAACUCAAAGGAGACUGCCAGUGAUAAACUGGAGGAAGGUGGGGAUGACGUCAAGUCAUCAUGGCCCUUACGACCAGGGCUACACACGUGCUACAAUGGCGCAUACAAAGAGAAGCGACCUCGCGAGAGCAAGCGGACCUCAUAAAGUGCGUCGUAGUCCGGAUUGGAGUCUGCAACUCGACUCCAUGAAGUCGGAAUCGCUAGUAAUCGUGGAUCAGAAUGCUACGGUGAAUACGUUCCCGGGCCUUGUACACACCGCCCGUCACACCAUGGGAGUGGGUUGCAAAAGAAGUAGGUAGCUUAACCUUCGGGAGGGCGCUUACCACUUUGUGAUUCAUGACUGGGGUGAAGUCGUAACAAGGUAACCGUAGGGGAACCUGCGGUUGGAUCACCUCCUUACCUUAAAGAA
RNAcentral lists this ribosomal RNA (418 nucleotides) under Salmonella enterica subsp. enterica. RNAcentral's name for it is "bacterial SSU rRNA". It matches the Rfam family "Bacterial small subunit ribosomal RNA", at positions 1126 to 1533 of the family's 1533-position model. RNAcentral also lists the same sequence under 1 other name. The record is from RNAcentral. Lineage: Bacteria; Pseudomonadati; Pseudomonadota; Gammaproteobacteria; Enterobacterales; Enterobacteriaceae.